This 468-nucleotide ribosomal RNA is filed under the name uncultured bacterium. RNAcentral describes it as "partial 16S ribosomal RNA". It matches the Rfam family "Bacterial small subunit ribosomal RNA", at positions 28 to 507 of the family's 1533-position model. The record is from RNAcentral.
GACGAACGCUGGCGGCGUGCUUAACACAUGCAAGUCGAACGGAAAGGCCCUGCUUUUGUGGGGUGCUCGAGUGGCGAACGGGUGAGUAACACGUGAAUAACCUGCCCUUGACUUUGGGAUAACUUCAGGAAACUGGGGCUAAUACCGGAUAGGAGCUCCUGCUGCAUGGUGGGGGUUGGAAAGUUUCGGCGGUUGGGGAUGGACUCGCGGCUUAUCAGCUUGUUGGUGGGGUAGUGGCUUACCAAGGCUUUGACGGGUAGCCGGCCUGAGAGGGUGACCGGCCACAUGGGGACUGAGAUACGGCCCAGACUCCAACGGGAGGCAGCAGUGGGGAAUAUUGCACAAUGGGCGGAAGCCUGAUGCAGCAACGCCGCGUGCGGGAUGACGGCCUUCGGGUUGUAAACCGCUUUCGCCUGUGACGAAGCGUGAGUGACGGUAAUGGGUAAAGAAGCACCGGCUAACUACGUG